GUGUGUAAGCGCAGCGAUGCGUUGAGCUAACCGGUACUAAUGAACCGUGAGGCUUAACCUUACAACGCCGAAG
This 73-nucleotide ribosomal RNA is filed under the name Escherichia coli. RNAcentral's name for it is "partial 23S ribosomal RNA". The record is from RNAcentral. RNAcentral also lists the same sequence under 19 other names. Lineage: Bacteria; Pseudomonadati; Pseudomonadota; Gammaproteobacteria; Enterobacterales; Enterobacteriaceae.